GACAAGAAAUAACAAUACAGGACUUUAAAUAGUUUUGUAAUUGGAAUGAGUUAAGUAUAAACCCCUUUACAAGUAUCAAUUGGAGGGCAAGUCUGGUGCCAGCAGCCGCGGUAAUUCCAGCUCCAAUAGCGUAUAUUAAAGUUGUUGCAGUUAAAAAGCUCGUAGUUGGAUUUCUGUUAAUAAUUUAUAUAUAAUAUUUUAUUAAUAUUUAUAUAGUAUUAACAUAAUUCAUAUUACUAUAUUUUAUAGUAUAUGAAAUUUUACUUUGAGAAAAUUAGAGUGCUUAAAGCAGGCAUUAGCCUUGAAUACUCCAGCAUGGAAUAAUAUAAAAGAUUUUUAUCUUUUUUAUUGGUUCUAAGAUAAAAAUAAUGAUUAAUAGGGACAGUUGGGGGCAUUUGUAUUUAACAGUCAGAGGUGAAAUUCUUAGAUUUGUUAAAGACAAACUAGUGCGAAAGCAUUUGCCAAGGAUGUUUUCAUUAAUCAAG
This 485-nucleotide ribosomal RNA is filed under the name Cryptosporidium ubiquitum. RNAcentral's name for it is "SSU rRNA". It matches the Rfam family "Eukaryotic small subunit ribosomal RNA", at positions 469 to 981 of the family's 1831-position model. Lineage: Eukaryota; Apicomplexa; Conoidasida; Eucoccidiorida; Cryptosporidiidae. The record is from RNAcentral.